Molecule: unclassified non-coding RNA, 377 nt
Filed under: plant metagenome
Description: partial contains 5.8S ribosomal RNA, internal transcribed spacer 2, and large subunit ribosomal RNA
Rfam family: 5.8S ribosomal RNA (bases 1-104)
Source: RNAcentral
AAAUGCGAUAAGUAAUGUGAAUUGCAGAAUUCAGUGAAUCAUCGAAUCUUUGAACGCACCUUGCGCUCCUUGGUAUUCCUUGGAGCAUGCCUGUUUGAGUAUCAUGAAAUCUUCAAAGUAAAUCUUUUGUUAACUCAAUUGGUUUCUACUUUGGUAUUGGAGGUCUUUGCAGCUUCACACCUGCUCCUCUUUGUUCAUUAGCUGGAUCUCAGUGUUAUGCUUGGUUCCACUCGGCGUGAUAAGUUAUCUAUCGCUGAGGACACUGUAAAAGGUGGCCAAGGUAAAUGCAGAUGAACCGCUUCUAAUAGUCCAUUGACUUGGACAAUACUUUUAUGAUCUGAUCUCAAAUCAGGUAGGACUACCCGCUGAACUCAAGC